UGGACAAUGGGCGCAAGCCUGAUCCAGCAAUGCCGCGUGCAGGAUGAAGGCCUUCGGGUUGUAAACUGCUUUUGUACGGAACGAAAAGCCCUGGGUUAAUACCCUGGGGUCAUGACGGUACCGUAAGAAUAAGCACCGGCUAACUACGUGCCAGCAGCCGCGGUAAUACGUAGGGUGCAAGCGUUAAUCGGAAUUACUGGGCGUAAAGCGUGCGCAGGCGGUUUUGUAAGACAGAGGUGAAAUCCCCGGGCUCAACCUGGGAACUGCCUUUGUGACUGCAAGGCUAGAGUACGGCAGAGGGGGAUGGAAUUCCGCGUGUAGCAGUGAAAUGCGUAGAUAUGCGGAGGAACACCGAUGGCGAAGGCAAUCCCCUGGGCCUGUACUGACGCUCAUGCACGAAAGCGUGGGGAGCAAACAGGAUUAGAUACCCUGGUAGUCCACGCCCUAAACGAUGUCAACUGGUUGUUGGGUCUUAACUGACUCAGUAACGAAGCUAACGCGUGAAGUUGACCGCCUGG
This 518-nucleotide ribosomal RNA is filed under the name uncultured bacterium. RNAcentral describes it as "bacterial SSU rRNA". It matches the Rfam family "Bacterial small subunit ribosomal RNA", at positions 365 to 876 of the family's 1533-position model. The record is from RNAcentral.